GUUUUUCGGCAUUAUUGCGGCGUAAGGGCUCGCAGGCGGUUUCUUAAGUCUGAUGUGAAAGCCCCCGGCUCAACCGGGGAGGGUCAUUGGAAACUGGGGAACUUGAGUGCAGAAGAGGAGAGUGGAAUUCCACGUGUAGCGGUGAAAUGCGUAGAGAUGUGGAGGAACACCAGUGGCGAAGGCGACUCUCUGGUCUGUAACUGACGCUGAGGAGCGAAAGCGUGGGGAGCGAACAGGAUUAGAUACCCUGGUAGUCCACGCCGUAAACGAUGAGUGCUAAGUGUUAGGGGGUUUCCGCCCCUUAGUGCUGCAGCUAACGCAUUAAGCACUCCGCCUGGGGAGUACGGUCGCAAGACUGAAACUCAAAGGAAUUGACGGGGGCCCGCACAAGCGGUGGAGCAUGUGGUUUAAUUCGAAGCAACGCGAAGAACCUUACCAGGUCUUGACAUCCUCUGACAAUCCUAGAGAUAGGACGUCCCCUUCGGGGGCAGAGUGACAGGUGGUGCAUGGUUGUCGUCAGCUCGUGUCGUGAGAUGUUGGGUUAAGUCCCGCAACGAGCGCAACCCUUGAUCUUAGUUGCCAGCAUUCAGUUGGGCACUCUAAGGUGACUGCCGGUGACAAACCGGAGGAAGGUGGGGAUGACGUCAAAUCAUCAUGCCCCUUAUGACCUGGGCUACACACGUGCUACAAUGGACAGAACAAAGGGCAGCGAAACCGCGAGGUUAAGCCAAUCCCACAAAUCUGUUCUCAGUUCGGAUCGCAGUCUGCAACUCGACUGCGUGAAGCUGGAAUCGCUAGUAAUCGCGGAUCAGCAUGCCCGGUGGAAUACCUUUCCCGGGGCCUUGUACACACCGCCCGUCACACCACGAGAGUUUGUAACACCCGAAGUCGGUGAGGUAACCUUUUAGGAGCCAGCCGCCGAAGGUGGGACAGAUGAUUGGGGUG
Molecule: ribosomal RNA, 945 nt
Filed under: Bacillus subtilis
Lineage: Bacteria; Bacillati; Bacillota; Bacilli; Caryophanales; Bacillaceae
Description: bacterial SSU rRNA
Rfam family: Bacterial small subunit ribosomal RNA
Source: RNAcentral